UCUAAACGGUGUCGUGCUGAUUGUUUAGAGCAGAGGCGAAGCAUAGUCUCAAUCUCUCUCUCUCUCUCUCUCUCUCUCUCUCUCUCUCUCCGUGUCUUCACCAGCAGCCGGUUCGUUACUGCGCUGCAACUGCAAACAGAAGAGCAGUACAACUUCGAUGCGAGCAAAAACCGGGGUUGUAGGAGUUGAAUUGCUUGCAGGAAAAUGCAUCUUCCUUUGACAUUGCAUAGGCAUCUAACAUGUGCUAAAACUAUUGAGCAGUUACAACAGUGUCAUUUACACCAUCCCAUUGGAAAAUUCUUUGAUGAAUGUACAGACCUCAAAAUAAAGCUUGAUUGAUGUUUUCAGGAGGAAGUGAGUAAUUAUUAUGUUUGUCUCUUGUUCAUCUAGUUAAAAUAUAGACCUUGACUUUGCAUUAAAAUUUUGAAGUCGUCCCAGUCCUGUAUAAAGCUGUGAAGCGGAAGGCAAAUUUUGAACAAAGUAACAAACUUAAAGGAAGGCUUCAGACAUUAAGGAAGGAAGCUGCUGAGAGAAGCCCCGAGGACUAAAGAGAAGAAUUUUAUGUGAGCUUAACAAACAAAGUGGGAGGUGUUGUCUGAAACUCUCCUAGAUUCUGAAUUUAGAUUCUAUACAACUUUAUGUUGUGGCGUAGUGAACAUAGAAUGGCCUUUGAGGGAUGAUCUGGAUUGCAGUUCAUUGCAUAUUGUGCUAUGAUAUAGUGUCUGUCAUUUUUUCUUGGGUUGGAAAAAUAAUUUGAUUCCCUGUAGAAAGCUUCUAAAAGAUCAUGAACUUUAGAUUAAUCUGUUUGUACAAUUGCCAGGAGACAUUAAUUGUGUCAUUUCAGGUUAUUAAUUGAGUUAUGAAUUUCAUUUGC
Molecule: long non-coding RNA, 874 nt
Organism: Hevea brasiliensis (rubber tree)
Lineage: Eukaryota; Viridiplantae; Streptophyta; Magnoliopsida; Malpighiales; Euphorbiaceae
Exons: 3
Source: RefSeq, a predicted model, not a curated record